GGAGUUUAGCAGGUGUGAGGCAGUGGGCUAAAUUAUUGACAUUUUAAAAAAUCUCACUUCACCCCCCCCAACGAUUCCUGGGGGAAGGUGAAUGAUGCACUUACAGGUGCCAUUAUCGUUCCCUUUUACAGAUAAGAAAACAGUUCACAAAGAGGAAUGAUUUGCCCGAUAUCACCCAGCAGAUGUGUGGCAGAAAAACCCGCUGGAUGCGUGGCAGAAAAACCCGCCUUUGAACUCCGGCCCUAAGAGAGGACAGGGCCAGGCUGCAGAGCUGUGCCUCACGCCCUCCUUUCCCUCCCACAAGGACUGGUUACAAAGACCCCGUCAACACCUAAGUCCACGCCGUAUCGUGCACCCCUCAGUCACCCCCUGUCCCAGAAGGUAACCUCCUGGGCCUUCCUGUUGAUGGAAAUUCAGACACCAACAUCCCUGAAUAUUCCCUUGACCCUUCUUCCUGCCAUUGGGGUUAUUUUGUUUUCCUGGUUCAUCGGCAAGAAAUCUGCAAGAAACUGGCUGGGUUGGCAAAGGCUCUGGGCUAACUUGGAGGCCGCUAUGCUGUGUAUGCUGGGGUGGGUGCUGGGGGCCUGGCGGGCAGGGGAGGGCAGAGGCUCGCAUGCCGGGGCACCUCAAGGCCCAAAGUCAAUGCAGUGUUUCCUUGGUAAAGUGCCCUCCUGGCCUGCACCUGCUUACAAUUCAACGCAGUGCCCUGAGGGUACAUUGCAGCCUCCUUUGGCUGAAAGAAGCAGCCUUUUGUGAUCUAUCCUCUGCCUUUGUAGCCUUCUUUCCCACCACUGGAUCCCCUCCAAAAAGAACGUGCUUUGCCCUGCUUCCAGGCCUUUGGCCCUGCUGUGCCCUCCUCCUGGACCACCUUUCCUCCAUGGUUCUCUUACCACGUGCUUCUUCUCCUGGUACUUCAGGACUCCUACACUGUGAGGCCCUCCCAGAAUCCCCCCAGCCCCCUACUUGGGGUUGCCACUGCGACAGAGGGACAUUGCUUCCAGAACUACGUUGUACUCUAGACUACAAAGCCCAGCUGGUGAGCUGACACCUCCAUGUAGGUUUCACGCAGGCCCCUAACUUCACAAAGCGGAAUACUCCAUUUAUUUCCCUCCUGAAACCCCAGCCCUGCCCACCUGUCUUCCCAGCUCAGGAAACAGUGCUGCCCUGUUCAGACCAGGUCCUGGUGGCCCCUUGGUUCCUGUUUCCCUCACCCCACACAUCCCAAAUCUUGCUGACUUGACUGCCAAAUACAUCCCAAAUCCAUGCCCUUGUUGCCACUUUCACAGCUACCACCGAGGUGCAGGCUUGCCACUGUCCUUGCCCACCUGAACCGUGGCAGUGAGCUCCUCCUCCCUGGUCUCCUGGCUUCCAGCUUUGCUCCACUCAAUCCACACAGUCAGAGGAAAUAUUUCAA
RNAcentral lists this long non-coding RNA (1414 nucleotides) under Homo sapiens (human). Its description in RNAcentral is "HSALNT0401688". The record is from RNAcentral. Lineage: Eukaryota; Metazoa; Chordata; Mammalia; Primates; Hominidae.